AAAUGACAUUACGAUUUGAAUUUGAAUUGUACUUACAUACAUACAUAUGUGCAUAUGUAAUUAUGUAUGCGCUGAUAUGUAGAUGCGUAUGAAAAUUAAAUGACAUAUUAUUGUAAUAUGUAUAUUAAGUUUUUAUGAUUAUGAUAGUAUCUCAUAUACAUACAUAUUCAUACAUAUGUAUAUUAUAUUUACAAACAUAUUCAUAUACAUAUGAAAUUAUAAUAUAUUCUCAAACAUAAGAAAUAUUUUAAUAAAUAACUCUUUAUUGCACAUUAACUACAAAUAUUGUUUUGAAAAUAGCAUAAUUUAAUUAGAAUGAUAUAAAUUAUGCAUAUAUUCAUAGAAAUAUGCAAAAUGGUAAUCACAUCAAUUAACAUGAUGGCAUAUGAGCAUAUAAAAAUAUAAGCAAAAGGCCAACAUACGUCUGUAAUAGCAAUGCAUGUUUCUGAGCAUAAUUUUCAUUAAAUGCUCAGCUCUAGAACUUAAAAGUAUAGAGAAGGUGCAAAUCGAAAUCUGUAUGACGGUUCGAUUGCGCGGCUAACAGAGCUGAUAGAAUCAGAUGAAGGAAUUCGCCGAGCUCUGGCUAUUUAGCAGAAUUGAGCACUUUCAGUGGCAGAAAUAUAUGUAAAAUGACUGAGAAUAAAUAAAGAGAAUUGCUUUGUAGAAAAAUAUACAAAAUAUAUAAAGACACACAGAUAAUGUAAAAAAGCCACUCUCUGAGUGACAUAUGUAUGCAUGCUUAUAUUGAAUUAUAUGAGCCAUUGUCACAUAUGCGUGAUUACUUUGGUAAAAAUGGUAAAAAUUUUAUGUGAUAAAAUUAAAUAAAAAAUAAUUUUAAAUAAAUUAUUAUUUAAAAAAUUA
Bactrocera neohumeralis is the source of this 861-nucleotide long non-coding RNA. RefSeq lists it as uncharacterized. The record is from RefSeq and is a predicted model, not a curated record. NCBI's taxonomy places the organism in Eukaryota, Metazoa, Arthropoda, Insecta, Diptera, Tephritidae. The transcript is spliced from 2 exons.